RNAcentral lists this ribosomal RNA (499 nucleotides) under uncultured Glomeromycotina. RNAcentral describes it as "partial small subunit ribosomal RNA". It matches the Rfam family "Eukaryotic small subunit ribosomal RNA", at positions 591 to 1091 of the family's 1831-position model. Lineage: Eukaryota; Fungi; Glomeromycota. The record is from RNAcentral.
CCAAUAGCGUAUAUUAAAGUUGUUGCAGUUAAAAAGCUCGUAGUUGAAUUUCGGGGUCAGUAGGUCGGUCGUGCCACUGGUAUGAACUGGUUUUACUGAUUCCUCCCUCUUGAAGAACUGUAAUGCCAUUAAUUUGGUGUUGCAGGGAAUCAGGACUGUUACUUUGAAAAAAUUAGAGUGUUUAAAGCAGGCUUUAGCUUGAAUACAUUAGCAUGGAAUAAUGAAAUAGGACGUUUGAUCCUAUUUUGUUGGUUUCUAGGAUUGACGUAAUGAUUAAUAGGGAUAGUUGGGGGCAUUAGUAUUCAAUUGUCAGAGGUGAAAUUCUUGGAUUUAUUGAAGACUGACUACUGCGAAAGCAUUUGCCAAGGAUGUUUUCAUUAAUCAAGAACGAAAGUUAGGGGAUCGAAGACGAUCAGAUACCGUCGUAGUCUUAACCAUAAACUAUGCCGACUAGGGAUCGGAUGAUGUUAAUUUUUUAAUGACUCAUUCGGCGCCUUAC